CCUACGGGAGGCAGCAGUGAGGAAUAUUGGUCAAUGGACGAGAGUCUGAACCAGCCAAGUAGCGUGAAGGAUGACUGCCCUAUGGGUUGUAAACUUCUUUUAUAUGGGAAUAAAAUGUUCCACGUGUGGGAUUUUGUAUGUACCAUAUGAAUAAGGAUCGGCUAACUCCGGGCCAGCAGCCGCGGUAAUACGGAGGAUCCGAGCGUUAUCCGGAUUUAUUGGGUUUAAAGGGAGCGUAGGUGGAUUUUUAAGUCAGUUGUGAAAGUUUGCGGCUCAAACGUAAAAUUGCAGUUGAAACUGGCAGUCUUGAGUAGAGUAGAGGUGGGCGGAAUGCGUGGUGUAGCGGUGAAAUGCUUAGAUAUCACGAAGAACUCCGAUUGCGAAGGCAGUUCACUGGACUGCAACUGACACUGAGGCACGAAAGUGUGGGUAUCAAACAGGAUUAGAUACCCGUGUAGUC
Molecule: ribosomal RNA, 460 nt
Filed under: uncultured bacterium
Lineage: Bacteria
Description: partial 16S ribosomal RNA
Rfam family: Bacterial small subunit ribosomal RNA
Source: RNAcentral